CCUACGGGAGACAGCAGUGAGGAAUAUUGGUCAAUGGGCGGGAGCCUGAACCAGCCAAGUAGCGUGAAGGAUGACAGCCCUAUGGGUGUUAAACUUCUUUUAUAAGGGAAUAAAGUGCCCCACGUGUGGGGUUUUGUAUGUACCUUAUGAAUAAGCUUCGGGUAAUUCCGUGCCAGCAGCCGCGGUAAUACGGAAGAUGCGAGCGUUAUCCGGGUUUAUUGGGGUAAAGGGGAGCGUAGGCGGUUCCAUAAGUCAGGGGUAAAUCGUGCGGCUUAACCGUACCGUGCCUGUGAAAGUGGGGGACUUGAGUAUGCGCAGGGUACAUGGAAUUCGUGG
RNAcentral lists this ribosomal RNA (336 nucleotides) under uncultured bacterium. Its description in RNAcentral is "partial 16S ribosomal RNA". It matches the Rfam family "Bacterial small subunit ribosomal RNA", at positions 338 to 673 of the family's 1533-position model. The record is from RNAcentral.